RNAcentral lists this ribosomal RNA (909 nucleotides) under uncultured bacterium. Its description in RNAcentral is "bacterial SSU rRNA". It matches the Rfam family "Bacterial small subunit ribosomal RNA", at positions 33 to 926 of the family's 1533-position model. The record is from RNAcentral.
ACGCUGGCGGCGUGCCUAAUACAUGCAAGUAGAACGCUGAAGGAGGAGCUUGCUUCUCUGGAUGAGUUGCGAACGGGUGAGUAACGCGUAGGUAACCUGCCUGGUAGCGGGGGAUAACUAUUGGAAACGAUAGCUAAUACCGCAUAAGAGUAGAUGUUGCAUGACAUUUGCUUAAAAGGUGCAAUUGCAUCACUACCAGAUGGACCUGCGUUGUAUUAGCUAGUUGGUGGGGUAACGGCUCACCAAGGCGACGAUACAUAGCCGACCUGAGAGGGUGAUCGGCCACACUGGGACUGAGACACGGCCCAGACUCCUACGGGAGGCAGCAGUAGGGAAUCUUCGGCAAUGGACGGAAGUCUGACCGAGCAACGCCGCGUGAGUGAAGAAGGUUUUCGGAUCGUAAAGCUCUGUUGUAAGAGAAGAACGAGUGUGAGAGUGGAAAGUUCACACUGUGACGGUAUCUUACCAGAAAGGGACGGCUAACUACGUGCCAGCAGCCGCGGUAAUACGUAGGUCCCGAGCGUUGUCCGGAUUUAUUGGGCGUAAAGCGAGCGCAGGCGGUUAGAUAAGUCUGAAGUUAAAGGCUGUGGCUUAACCAUAGUACGCUUUGGAAACUGUUUAACUUGAGUGCAAGAGGGGAGAGUGGAAUUCCAUGUGUAGCGGUGAAAUGCGUAGAUAUAUGGAGGAACACCGGUGGCGAAAGCGGCUCUCUGGCUUGUAACUGACGCUGAGGCUCGAAAGCGUGGGGAGCGAACAGGAUUAGAUACCCUGGUAGUCCACGCCGUAAACGAUGAGUGCUAGGUGUUAGACCCUUUCCGGGGUUUAGUGCCGCAGCUAACGCAUUAAGCACUCCGCCUGGGGAGUACGACCGCAAGGUUGAAACUCAAAGGAAUUGACGGGGGCCCGCAC